RNAcentral lists this ribosomal RNA (400 nucleotides) under uncultured bacterium. RNAcentral describes it as "bacterial SSU rRNA". It matches the Rfam family "Bacterial small subunit ribosomal RNA", at positions 356 to 773 of the family's 1533-position model. The record is from RNAcentral.
GGGGAAUAUUGGACAAUGGGCGCAAGCCUGAUCCAGCCAUGCCGCGUGAGUGAUGAAGGCCCUAGGGUUGUAAAGCUCUUUUGCCUGGGAAGAUAAUGACUGUACCAGGAGAAUAAGCCCCGGCUAACUUCGUGCCAGCAGCCGCGGUAAUACGAAGGGGGCUAGCGUUGUUCGGAAUCACUGGGCGUAAAGCGCACGUAGGCGGAUUGUUAAGUCGGGGGUGAAAUCCUGAGGCCCAACCUCAGAACUGCCUUCGAUACUGGCAAUCUCGAGUUCGGAAGAGGUUGGUGGAACAGCUAGUGUAGAGGUGAAAUUCGUGGAUAUUAGCUAGAACACCAGUGGCGAAGGCGGCCAACUGGUCCGAUACUGACGCUGAGGUGCGAAAGCGUGGGGAGCAAAC